This 164-nucleotide ribosomal RNA is filed under the name Raoulia grandiflora. Its description in RNAcentral is "5.8S ribosomal RNA". It matches the Rfam family "5.8S ribosomal RNA". From Rfam's summary of the family: 5.8S ribosomal RNA (5.8S rRNA) is a component of the large subunit of the eukaryotic ribosome. It is transcribed by RNA polymerase I as part of the 45S precursor that also contains 18S and 28S rRNA. Lineage: Eukaryota; Viridiplantae; Streptophyta; Magnoliopsida; Asterales; Asteraceae. The record is from RNAcentral.
ACAAACGACUCUCGGCAACGGAUAUCUCGGCUCACGCAUCGAUGAAGAACGUAGCAAAAUGCGAUACUUGGUGUGAAUUGCAGAAUCCCGUGAACCAUCGAGUUUUUGAACGCAAGUUGCGCCCGAAGCCAUUUGGUUGAGGGCACGUCUGCCUGGGCGUCACG